RNAcentral lists this ribosomal RNA (490 nucleotides) under uncultured bacterium. Its description in RNAcentral is "partial 16S ribosomal RNA". It matches the Rfam family "Bacterial small subunit ribosomal RNA", at positions 28 to 507 of the family's 1533-position model. The record is from RNAcentral.
GAUGAACGCUAGCUACAGGCUUAACACAUGCAAGUCGCGGGGCAGCAUGGGGGUUGCUUGCAAUCCCCGAUGGCGACCGGCGCACGGGUGAGUAACGCGUAUCCAACCUGCUCUUCACCACGAGAUAACCCGGCGAAAGUCGGCCUAAUACCGUAUGUUGUCCAUUGUCGGCCUCCGAUUUCGUCGAACGUCUUGCGGGUGAGGGCUGCGGAUGCGUCCGAUUAGCUGGACGGCGGGGUAACGGCCCACCGUGGCUACGAUCGGUAGGGGUUCUGAGAGGAAGGUCCCCGACACUGGAACUGAGACACGGUCCAGACUCCUACGGGAGGCAGCAGUGAGGAAUAUUGGUCAAUGGGCGUAAGCCUGAACCAGCCAAGUAGCGUGCAGGAUGACGGCCCUAGGGGUUGUAAACUGCUUUUAUGCGGGGAUAAAGUGGCCCACGUGUGGGCUUUUGCAGGUACCGCAUGAAUAAGGACCGGCUAAUUCCGUG